GGUUAAGUUAGAAAGGGCGCACGGUGAAUGCCUUGGCACUAGGAGCCGAUGAAGGACGGACUAACACCGAUAUGCUUCGGGGAGCUGUAAGUGAGCUUUGAUCCGGAGAUUUCCGAAUGGGGAAACCCACUGUUCGUAAUGGAACAGUAUCUUUAUCUGAAUACAUAGGAUAUUGAAGGCAGACCCGGGGAACUGAAACAUCUAAGUACCCGGAGGAAGAGAAAGCAAAUGCGAUUUCCUGAGUAGCGGCGAGCGAAACGGAAUUAGCCCAAACCAAGAGGCUUGCCUCUUGGGGUUGUAGGACACUCUAUACGGAGUUACAAAGGAACGAAGUAAAUGAAGCGACCUGGAAAGGUCCGUCGAAGAAGGUAACAACCCUGUAGUUGAAACUUCGUUCCCUCUUGAGUGGAUCCUGAGUACGGCGGAACACGUGAAAUUCCGUCGGAAGCUGGGAGGACCAUCUCCCAAGGCUAAAUACUACCUAGUGACCGAUAGUGAACCAGUACCGUGAGGGAAAGGUGAAAAGCACCCCGGAAGGGGAGUGAAAGAGAUCCUGAAACCGUGUGCCUACAAGUAGUCAGAGCCCGUUAACGGGUGAUGGCGUGCCUUUUGUAGAAUGAACCGGCGAGUUACGAUCCCAUGCAAGGUUAAGCUGAUAAGGCGGAGCCGUAGCGAAAGCGAGUCUGAAUAGGGCGUUUAGUAUGUGGUUGUAGACCCGAAACCAGGUGAUCUACCCAUGUCCAGGGUGAAGUUCAGGUAACACUGAAUGGAGGCCCGAACCCACGCACGUUGAAAAGUGCGGGGAUGAGGUGUGGGUAGCGGAGAAAUUCCAAUCGAACCUGGAGAUAGCUGGUUCUCUCCGAAAUAGCUUUAGGGCUAGCCUCAUGUUGUGAGAGUCUUGGAGGUAGAGCACUGAUUGGACUAGGGGCCCCCAACGGGUUACCGAAUUCAGUCAAACUCCGAAUGCCAAAGACUUAUCCAUGGGAGUCAGACUGCGAGUGAUAAGAUCCGUAGUCAAAAGGGAAACAGCCCAGACCACCAGCUAAGGUCCCCAAGUAUACGUUAAGUGGAAAAGGAUGUGGAGUUGCUUAGACAACCAGGAUGUUGGCUUAGAAGCAGCCACCAUUUAAAGAGUGCGUAAUAGCUCACUGGUCGAGUGACUCUGCGCCGAAAAUGUACCGGGGCUAAACGUAUCACCGAAGCUGUGGAUUGACAUCUUAGAUGUCAGUGGUAGGAGAGCGUUCUAAGUGCUGUGAAGUCAGACCGUAAGGACUGGUGGAGCGCUUAGAAGUGAGAAUGCCGGUAUGAGUAGCGAAAGACAAGUGAGAAUCUUGUCCACCGAAUGCCUAAGGUUUCCUGAGGAAGGCUCGUCCGCUCAGGGUUAGUCGGGACCUAAGCCGAGGCUGAAAAGCGUAGGCGAUGGCCAACAGGUUGAUAUUCCUGUACCACCUCCCCGCCGUUUGAGUAAUGGGGGGACGCAGUAGGAUAGGGUAAGCGCGCUGCUGGAUAUGCGCGUUCAAGCAGUUAGGCUGAUGAGUAGGCAAAUCCGCUCAUCAUAAAGGCUGAGCUGUGAUGACGAGGGAAUUAUAGUACCGAAGUUCCUGAUUCCACACUGCCAAGAAAAGCCUCUAGCGAGGCGGGAGGUGCCCGUACCGCAAACCGACACAGGUAGGCGAGGAGAGAAUCCUAAGGUGAUCGAGAGAACUCUCGUUAAGGAACUCGGCAAAAUGACCCCGUAACUUCGGGAGAAGGGGUGCUCUGGUAGGGUGUAUAGCCCGAGAGAGCCGCAGUGAAUAGGCCCAGGCGACUGUUUAGCAAAAACACAGGUCUCUGCGAAGCCGCAAGGCGAAGUAUAGGGGCUGACGCCUGCCCGGUGCUGGAAGGUUAAGAGGAGGGGUUAUCCUUUGGGAGAAGCUCUGAAUCGAAGCCCCAGUAAACGGCGGCCGUAACUAUAACGGUCCUAAGGUAGCGAAAUUCCUUGUCGGGUAAGUUCCGACCCGCACGAAAGGCGUAACGAUCUGGGCACUGUCUCAACGAGAGACUCGGUGAAAUUAUAGUACCUGUGAAGAUGCAGGUUACCCGCGACAGGACGGAAAGACCCCGUGGAGCUUUACUGUAGCCUGAUAUUGAAUUUUGGUACAGCUUGUACAGGAUAGGUAGGAGCCUGAGAAGCCGGAGCGCUAGCUUCGGUGGAGGCGUCGGUGGGAUACUACCCUGGCUGUAUUGAAAUUCUAACCCGCGGCCCUGAUCGGGCCGGGAGACAGUGUCAGGUGGGCAGUUUGACUGGGGCGGUCGCCUCCUAAAAUGUAACGGAGGCGCCCAAAGGUUCCCUCAGAAUGGUUGGAAAUCAUUCGUAGAGUGUAAAGGCACAAGGGAGCUUGACUGCGAGACCUACAAGUCGAGCAGGGACGAAAGUCGGGCUUAGUGAUCCGGUGGUUCCGCAUGGAAGGGCCAUCGCUCAACGGAUAAAAGCUACCCCGGGGAUAACAGGCUUAUCUCCCCCAAGAGUCCACAUCGACGGGGAGGUUUGGCACCUCGAUGUCGGCUCAUCGCAUCCUGGGGCUGUAGUCGGUCCCAAGGGUUGGGCUGUUCGCCCAUUAAAGCGGUACGCGAGCUGGGUUCAGAACGUCGUGAGACAGUUCGGUCCCUAUCCGUCGUGGGCGUAGGAAAUUUGAGAGGAGCUGUCCUUAGUACGAGAGGACCGGGAUGGACACACCGCUGGUGUACCAGUUGUCUUGCCAAAGGCAUCGCUGGGUAGCUAUGUGUGGACGGGAUAAGUGCUGAAAGCAUCUAAGCAUGAAGCCCCCCUCAAGAUGAGAUUUCCCAUAGCGCAAGCUAGUAAGAUCCCUGAAAGAUGAUCAGGUUGAUAGGUCAGAGGUGGAAGCGUGGCGACAUGUGUAGCUGACUGAUACUAAUCGAUCGAGGACUUAACCAA
This 2935-nucleotide ribosomal RNA is filed under the name Priestia megaterium. Its description in RNAcentral is "23S ribosomal RNA". It matches the Rfam family "Bacterial large subunit ribosomal RNA". Lineage: Bacteria; Bacillati; Bacillota; Bacilli; Caryophanales; Bacillaceae. The record is from RNAcentral.